RNAcentral lists this ribosomal RNA (253 nucleotides) under uncultured bacterium. RNAcentral's name for it is "partial 16S ribosomal RNA". It matches the Rfam family "Bacterial small subunit ribosomal RNA", at positions 524 to 776 of the family's 1533-position model. The record is from RNAcentral.
UACGUAGGGUGCGAGCGUUGUCCGGAAUUAUUGGGCGUAAAGAGCUCGUAGGCGGUCUGUCGCGUCGGAUGUGAAAAUCCAAGGCUUAACCUUGGGCCUGCAUUCGAUACGGGCAGACUAGAGUUCGGUAGGGGAGACUGGAAUUCCUGGUGUAGCGGUGAAAUGCGCAGAUAUCAGGAGGAACACCGGUGGCGAAGGCGGGUCUCUAGGCCGACACUGACGCUGAGGAGCGAAAGCGUGGGGAGCGAACAGG